This 917-nucleotide ribosomal RNA is filed under the name uncultured archaeon. RNAcentral's name for it is "bacterial SSU rRNA". It matches the Rfam family "Archaeal small subunit ribosomal RNA", at positions 1 to 923 of the family's 1478-position model. The record is from RNAcentral.
UUUCCGGUUGAUCCCGCCGGACCUGACUGCUAUCGGAUUGAUACUAAGCCAUGCGAGUCUUUGUAGUAAUACAAGGCAGACGGCUCAGUAACACGUAGUCAACCUACCCUAUGGACAAGAAUAAUCUCGGGAAACUGGGCAUAAUUCUUGAUAGAUCAUAAUGCCUGGAAUGGUUUAUGGUUAAAAUGAUUCGUCGCCAUAGGAUGGGACUGCGGCCUAUCAGCUUGUUGGUGAGGUAAUGGCCCACCAAGGCGAUUACAGGUACGGGCUCUGAGAGGAGAAGCCCGGAGAUGGGUACUGAGACACGGACCCAGGCCCUAUGGGGCGCAGCAGGCGAGAAAACUUUGCAAUGUGCGAAAGCACGACAAGGUUAAUCCGAGUGAUUUCUGCUAAAGAAAUCUUUUGCCAGUCAUAAAACCACUGGUGAAUAAGGGGUGGGCAAGUUCUGGUGUCAGCCGCCGCGGUAAAACCAGCACCUCAAGUGGUCAGGAUGAUUAUUGGGCCUAAAGCAUCCGUAGCCGGCUUUGUAAGUUUUCGGUUAAAUCCAUGUGCUCAACGCAUGGGCUGCCGAAAAUACUGCAUGGCUAGGGAGUGGGAGAGGUAGACGGUACUCAGUAGGAAGGGGUAAAAUCCUUUGAUCUAUUGAUGACCACCUGUGGCGAAGGCGGUCUACCAGAACACGUUCGACGGUGAGGGAUGAAAGCUGGGGGAGCAAACCGGAUUAGAUACCCGGGUAGUCCCAGCUGUAAACGAUGCAGACUCGAUGAUGCAUUGGCAUAAUAGCCAGUGCAGUGUCGCAGGGAAGCCGUUAAGUCUGCCGCCUGGGAAGUACGUACGCAAGUAUGAAACUUAAAGGAAUUGGCGGGGGAGCACCACAAGGGGUGAAGCCUGCGGUUCAAUUGGAGUCAACGCCGGGA